Molecule: long non-coding RNA, 760 nt
Organism: Anopheles arabiensis
Lineage: Eukaryota; Metazoa; Arthropoda; Insecta; Diptera; Culicidae
Exons: 2
Source: RefSeq, a predicted model, not a curated record
AUCGCAAACGCACACUUUGUGCCAGCGUGUGGAUCGCGCGCGCCCAUAGUGCCGUGUUUCCGGGACCAAAAAUUUUCAGUCCGCGCACAUUUUCCCGCACACAAACUCAAACCGCGGUCGCGUAAAGGUGAACCUCUGUCCGGGGGCAGAUCUCAACAUCGACGGGUGAAGAUUUUUGCUUGAUCUGCAAUUUGAAAAUUUUACAGUGAAGCACAAAUUUUGCAUAAUCAUCAGUGGUGCUCUCGCCCUAAGUGUGAAGGUAUAAAAGAGCGAUAGAGCGAGAGAGAGAGAGAGUGAAAGAAAGCGAAGAAUAAAACGGAAGGCGAAGCAGAAAGUCCUUCUCCGGUGUGCCAUAUUAUAUUAUUUAAAGUGUGUUUGUGUGAGUGAGUGUUUAUUUUUUGCGCACCUGUUUUUGCUGCACGAUUUUGUGCACGUGAAAGUUGUGCCGCCAAAAGUUUGAGGAAAAAGCAAAAUAUAAUAGUCACAGCAGCAAAAUUUAUCUUCCCUUACCCCCCUCCCUCGUGCGCUUCCAGUGCAACCGAUAAUACCCAUGCUGUUGUCGUGGUAAAUAGUGUGCUUCCUUGCAAGAAGAGGGUAUUUAAACAAGUUUUGGCAAUCGCGUGAAGAUUUCAAAUUUAAGGGAAAUUGUGUGAGUCUGUGUGCUUCCUAGGUUGCGCGGGUAGUUGGCGAGUGUGUGAGUGAGAGAGAGAAAGAGAGAGAGAGAGAGAGCGAUUGAAGAAGGGAACAUACAACAAAAUAC